Molecule: long non-coding RNA, 640 nt
Organism: Suricata suricatta (meerkat)
Lineage: Eukaryota; Metazoa; Chordata; Mammalia; Carnivora; Herpestidae
Exons: 2
Source: RefSeq, a predicted model, not a curated record
GGAAGGCCAAGGCAAUUUUAAGAAAGCACGGUAACAUCUUAAAAGGUCCCCGAGUCCAUUAACUAAAAAGGACGCCUACUUCGUGCCCAGUGCUUAGCAGUCUCAUGGCCUCAGAACCAGAGACCACGGGAAGACCCCCAGCGAGGAGGCUAAGAAAACGGUCCGGCCAGGACAGUCGCAACCGAAACCCCAGGAGCACGCCCCAGCAGAGACCCGGCCGGAGUUGGAGCCAGGAUCUCCCCGAGGGCCGAGGACGCCCCCUCCCCCACCAAAGGGCUCACUCCUUUCCUCCGCCCUCACUUGCCUCGUCAGUCCUCCCCCAACGCCGUCCACUGCCCUUCCCAACCCCUAGUCGAAUCCAGGUUCAAGAGCGAGAAAAGCUGAUGCUCGCUCAGCAGCACCCGGGACGAUCCGCCAGCAGAAGGCCCCCAAUGGCGGCCGCCAUUUUGAAACUGGAGGCGAGCCGCUGAGGCGGGGAAGGCUUAGGGCGAUACCAUCAUCGGGGGGGUAGAGACGAAGCUGUGGGGAGGAGAUGGCGCUUACACCAACAAAUCUCGUCACCUUGCACCGAAGUUGUAAUUUUAAAAACCUUGUAAUGUGUGAAAGCUAAAAUAAAUGCAAUAAGAGUCAAACAUCAAAA